This 930-nucleotide long non-coding RNA is filed under the name Coturnix japonica (Japanese quail). Its description in RNAcentral is "lncRNA (ENSCJPG00005017164.1)". Lineage: Eukaryota; Metazoa; Chordata; Aves; Galliformes; Phasianidae. The record is from RNAcentral.
UUUUAAAAUACUGUAAACUUACCUGCAUCAUCGUGAACAUUUGUCAAAUGAGAAAGAAUAGUUUGAAACCAAGAAGAAAGGAGCAUUUCUGUCAGUUCUCCAAAGCAAACUUGAGAGUUGGGAAACUUGGAUAGCGUAGAUAAGAUUCAAGCAGGCUUUGAAACAUGCAGUUUCCUUUGAACUGAGCCCUGCUACCUCUGUACCCCUUGGGGAAAGAAGGAACAGGUGUUCAAGGGAAUUCUGAGGCUUUCUAAGCUCUUCAGUCAAGGAAGGAACAAUCCAGACAGGAGUCAGAAGGGAGCCAGGAGUCACUGGGGCCCAUCUCCUGGGGAUGAGAGGCUUUGCCACCACCAGCGUGGGGCUCUGAGUGCCUGAAGAGCUCAGUGCUAACAACUAGGGGGACCAUGUCCAGUUGCAUCUGAUGGAGGAGAAACUCCUGCAAAGGACACCCACACUGGGCUCAGUUGAGAGCAGAGAGACUCUCUUGGUGCUGCUGGGAGGGGGGACAAACAAGAGCACCUGUGUGGGAGCUUCUCCCAGCAGAAACACUAUUGGGAAACUGUGUCUCUCCUCCUGAGUGGCUAAACGUAGCUUCAGCCCUUUCAUCCUCUCCUGGUCUCUUGCAGAGCCUCAUUAUUUUCAUGGAGGCCUUAGAGGGCAUUGAGACUCUCAUUCCCAAGGACAAGUUUCUGGCCAUCACCAGUGCCAUGUUCUACCAGGCUAUUUCUACUGGAACUUUAUUGGUGAAUGCCAUGCAGCCUGGAAACUUCUGGGGAAGGAAUUUCUUCAGGCCUUGACUCAGUCUCUGUCAACCCUGAACAUACGUAAAAUCGGUGGAAAACACAUUUUGGCGUAUAAUACUAACAGUGAAAGCACUCUUACAAAAUAACUGUCUUUAAAACCACAGAUAUUCUAAAGUUUCUUGUUGCC